AGAGAGAGACAUGCGCGCAUAUCAAUAAGCGGAGGAAAAGAAACUAACAAGGAUUCCCCUAGUAACGGCGAGUGAAGCGGGAAGAGCUCUAAUUUGAAAUCUUAAAGGGUUUCCCUUUACGAAUUGUAGUUAAAGAAGUGUUUUCUGUUGAGGUUUUGGUAAAAGUUCUUUGGAAUAGGACAGUCAUAGAGGGUGAGAAUCCCGUAUUUGACCUUUACUUUCAACUUUGUGAUACACUUUCAAAGAGUCGGAUUGUUUGGGAAUGCAGUCCAAAAUGGGUGGUAAAUUUCAGUCUAAAGCUAAAUAUUGGCGAGAGACCGAUAGCGAACAAGUACCGUGAGGGAAAGAUGAAAAGAACUUUGAAAAGAGAGUUAAACAGUACGUGAAAUUGUCAAAAGGGAAGCGUUUGACACCAGUGUUGUUUUUCUGAAAAUCAAUUAAAGAACUGUUUAUGCUAAGCUGUUUAGACUUUAUCAGCUAUCUGUUUAGUUUUGAGCUUUUCUUCAAUGCACUUUUCAGUUAACAAGUCAACAUCAAUUUCUUUUGCUGUAAAAAGCUUGAGGAAGGUGGCUUGAGAUUCGUCUUAAGUGUUUAUAGCCUCUUGCCUAUGCAGUCGGAGAGAUUGAGGUCUGCAGCGUAGAUCCUUCGGGGCUAAAUGCAUUUGUGCUAAGUUAUAGCAUUUUAUAGACAACUUGUUGACUAUGAUUUGUCUUGUAGCUUACUCGCUUAUGUUAUUUUACCUACGCUUAGGAUGUUGACGCAUGAGAUAUACGC
RNAcentral lists this ribosomal RNA (774 nucleotides) under uncultured Neocallimastigales. RNAcentral's name for it is "partial large subunit ribosomal RNA". It matches the Rfam family "Eukaryotic large subunit ribosomal RNA", at positions 23 to 646 of the family's 3401-position model. Lineage: Eukaryota; Fungi; Neocallimastigomycota; Neocallimastigomycetes; Neocallimastigales. The record is from RNAcentral.